This 253-nucleotide ribosomal RNA is filed under the name uncultured bacterium. Its description in RNAcentral is "partial 16S ribosomal RNA". It matches the Rfam family "Bacterial small subunit ribosomal RNA", at positions 524 to 776 of the family's 1533-position model. The record is from RNAcentral.
UACGAAGGGGGCUAGCGUUGCUCGGAAUCACUGGGCGUAAAGCGCACGUAGGCGGUCUUUUAAGUCAGGGGUGAAAGCCCGAGGCUCAACCUCGGAACUGCCUUCGAUACUGGCGAUCUUGAGUCCGGGAGAGGUGAGUGGAACUCCGAGUGUAGAGGUGAAAUUCGUAGAUAUUCGGAAGAACACCAGUGGCGAAGGCGGCUCACUGGCCCGGUACUGACGCUGAGAUGCGAAAGCGUGGGGAGCAAACAGG